UGUUGUUCUAAUCCAGAUCGCCCCAUAUUAUUAAUGAUUGUCNUAUGAUCAGNUAGGGAUNCNCGCUGACUUAAGCAUAUCAAUACGCGGAGGAAANGAAUCCANCAGGGAUUGCUUCAGUAACGGCGAGUGAAGCGGCAAAAGCUCUAAUUUGACAUCUGGCUCUUUCAGGGUCGGAGUUGUAAGUUCUAGAAGAUGCUUNGAGUGCGGCUCUGGUUUAUGUUCUUAGAACUAUUACAUCAUAGAGGGUGAGAAUCCCGUAUGUGACCAGUCGCCGCGCCCGUGUAAAGCUCUUUCAACGAGUCGAGUUGUUUGGGAAUGCAGCUCAAAAUGGGAGGUAUAUUUAUUCUAAACAUAAAUAUUGCCCAGAGACCGAUAGCGCACAAGUAGAGUGAUCGAAAGAUGAAAAGCCCUUUGGAAAGAGAGUUAAACAGUACGUGAAAUUGUUGAAAGGGAAGCGCUUGCAUCCAGACUUGCACGCAGUUGAUCAUCCGGUGUUCUCACCGGGGCACUCUGCUGCGUUCAGGCCAGCAUCGGUUUUGGUGGUUGGAUAAAGUCCUUGGGAAUGUAGCUUCUUUCGGGGAGUGUUAUANCCUUGGGUCAAAGCAGCCUACCGGGACCGAGGACCGCUUUUCGGCUAGGAUGCUGGCGUAAUGGUUGUAAGCGGCC
RNAcentral lists this ribosomal RNA (669 nucleotides) under uncultured fungus. RNAcentral's name for it is "eukaryotic LSU rRNA". It matches the Rfam family "Eukaryotic large subunit ribosomal RNA", at positions 1 to 649 of the family's 3401-position model. The record is from RNAcentral. Lineage: Eukaryota; Fungi.